RNAcentral lists this long non-coding RNA (791 nucleotides) under Gopherus evgoodei (Goodes thornscrub tortoise). RNAcentral's name for it is "lncRNA (ENSGEVG00005018178.1)". The record is from RNAcentral. Lineage: Eukaryota; Metazoa; Chordata; Testudines; Testudinidae.
CAGGGAGCCGGGGGGUGUGGAUGGGGCAGGGGUCCGGGGGCGGCAGAUAGGAGGUGCGGGCCAGGCCACGACACCCUCCCCUAACCAGCCCUCUAUACAAUUUACAAAACUGGCCCCUGCUGUCUGCACAAGAGCCUGAGUGUCUGCAAUUCCCCUAAACCCCAGAGGCUCCCCUGGCGAUUCCCCUGCAGAGCAGGAGGCUCCCCCAGCCUGGGACACGUCCUCUGACGGCCUCAUCUUUCUCUCCCUCUCUAGGGCGCCGGGAGCUGUGGGGGCAGGGAGGACGGGACGUUUCGGAAGCCAGAGCCGUCGUUUGCGGAGCUGGAGAAGAGACUCAGCGAUUUCUCUCUGAAAAGUGCCAUGCUGCAGGAGGUGCUGCUGGGAUUCAAAGAGACGCUGCGACGGGAGCUGGGGAGCGACACAGGUACGUGUCUGUCUCUGACCGGCCAGGGGGAGAUUUCAGCCCCAUAACCAUGUUAACGACGGGGCAUCACGGCCUCCAGCCCCCAUGUGCAGCUGGAAAUGGUGGAACAAUGUGAAGCCGGGUGACCCCUGUGACUGAUUCACUCCUGCUGUGACGGGGAUUCAGAGUGAAUCCAGAUCUCAGGGGUGAGAAAUGCUUCAUUAUUUUGUAACCCUUUUGGGGGGUUACCCUGUGUUCCCCAGUCCCAGCACGGAGUCCUUCCCCACCUGCUUUUCCUAAAGGGUUUUGAUUUAUUCUCUUUGGGUUAAGAAUGUCUACUCUUGAUUCAGAUUCACCUUGUCCCAGAAACUGUUCCAUAGUUUUUCUG